Molecule: ribosomal RNA, 297 nt
Filed under: uncultured bacterium
Lineage: Bacteria
Description: partial 16S ribosomal RNA
Rfam family: Bacterial small subunit ribosomal RNA
Source: RNAcentral
GCCUACGGGACGCAGCAGUGAGGAAUAUUGGUCAAUGGGCGCGAGCCUGAACCAGCCAAGUCGCGUGAGGGAUGACGGCCCUACGGGUUGUAAACCUCUUUUGCCGGGGAGCAAUGCCGGGCACGCGUGCCCGGAGGGAGAGUACCCGCAGAAUAAGCAUCGGCUAACUCCGUGCCAGCAGCCGCGGUAAUACGGAGGAUGCGAGCGUUAUCCGGAUUUAUUGGGUUGAAAGGGUGCGUAGGCGGAUUUUUAAGUCAGCGGUAAAAUGACCGGGCUCAACCCGGGCCGGCCGUUGAA